Molecule: ribosomal RNA, 253 nt
Filed under: uncultured bacterium
Lineage: Bacteria
Description: partial 16S ribosomal RNA
Rfam family: Bacterial small subunit ribosomal RNA
Source: RNAcentral
UACAGAGGUCUCAAGCGUUGUUCGGAUUCAUUGGGCGUAAAGCGCAUGUAGGCGGCCAUUCAAGUCGGGGGUGAAAUCCCAGGGCUCAACCCUGGAACUGCCUUCGAUACUGUCUGGCUCGAGUAUGGAAGAGGUUGGUGGAACUGCGAGUGUAGAGGUGAAAUUCGUAGAUAUUCGCAAGAACACCAGUGGCGAAGGCGGCCAACUGGUCCAUCACUGACGCUGAGAUGCGAAAGCGUGGGGAGCAAACAGG